AGAGUUUGAUCAUGGCUCAGGAUUAACGCUGGCGGCGUGCCUAAUACAUGCAAGUCGAAUGGUAGCAAUACCAUGGCGAACGGGUGAGUAACACGUAGGUAACCUGUCUUUAAGCCGAGGAUAACCAUUGGAAACGAUGGAUAAUACUGGAUAGGACAUUUGAAGGCAUCUUUAGAUGUUUAAAGAUUUACCACUUAGAGAGGGGCCUGCGGCGCAUUAGCUAGUUGGUGAGGUGAAGGCUUACCAAGGCGAUGAUGCGUAGCCGGACUGAGAGGUUGAACGGCCACAAUGGAACUGAGAACGGUCCAUACUCCUACGGGAGGCAGCAGUAGGGAAUUUUCGGCAAUGGGCGGAAGCCUGACCGAAGCAACGCCGCGUGAACGAAGAAGUAUUUCGGUAUGUAAAGUUCUUUUAUUAGGGACGAAAAGACAGAUUGACGGUACCUAAUGAAUAAGCUCCGGCUAACUACGUGCCAGCAGCAGC
This 483-nucleotide ribosomal RNA is filed under the name uncultured bacterium. RNAcentral describes it as "bacterial SSU rRNA". It matches the Rfam family "Bacterial small subunit ribosomal RNA", at positions 8 to 518 of the family's 1533-position model. The record is from RNAcentral.